Molecule: ribosomal RNA, 600 nt
Filed under: Microbacteriaceae bacterium Ri2Pt_4035
Lineage: Bacteria; Bacillati; Actinomycetota; Actinomycetes; Micrococcales; Microbacteriaceae
Description: bacterial SSU rRNA
Rfam family: Bacterial small subunit ribosomal RNA
Source: RNAcentral
GGCCACCGGGUUGUAAACCUCUUUUAGUAGGGAAGAAGCGAAAUGACGGUACCGCAGAAAAAGCACCGGCUAACACGUGCCAGCAGCCGCGGUAAACGUAGGGUGCAAGCGUGUCCGGAACAUUGGGCGAAAGAGUCGAGGCGGUGCGCGCGCGUGAAACCCGAGGCUAACCCGGGCCGCAGUGGGUACGGGCAGACAGAGUGCGGUAGGGGAGACGGAACCCUGGUGUAGCGGUGGAAUGCGCAGAUAUCAGGAGGAACACCGAUGGCGAAGGCAGAACUCUGGGCCGUAACUGACGCUGAGGAGCGAAAGCAUGGGGAGCGAACAGGACUAGAUACCCUGGUAGUCCAUGCCGUAAACGUUGGGCGCUAGAUGUAGGGACCUUUCCACGGUUUCUGUGUCGUAGCUAACGCAUUAAGCGCCCCGCCUGGGGAGUACGGCCGCAAGGCUAAAACUCAAAGGAAUUGACGGGGGCCCGCACAAGCGGCGGAGCACUCGGAUUAAUUCGAUGCAACGCGAAGAACCUUACCAAGGCUUGACAUACACCGGAAACGGCCAGAGAUGGUCGCCCUCCUUGUGGUCGGUGUACAGGUGGUGCAU